AGCUUUAUAGUCAAUAAUGAUAUUAGACUGCAAUUCUAAAGGAGUAAAAAUUUACUAAGGCUU
This 63-nucleotide transfer RNA is filed under the name Marmarodeceia marmorata. Its description in RNAcentral is "tRNA-Cys". The record is from RNAcentral. Lineage: Eukaryota; Metazoa; Arthropoda; Insecta; Diptera; Lauxaniidae.